Molecule: ribosomal RNA, 399 nt
Filed under: uncultured bacterium
Lineage: Bacteria
Description: bacterial SSU rRNA
Rfam family: Bacterial small subunit ribosomal RNA
Source: RNAcentral
AGCGAACGCUGGCGGCGUGCCUAACACAUGCAAGUCGAACGCGAAAGGGGGGCAACUCCCCGAGUAGAGUGGCGCACGGGUGAGUAACGCGUGGGUAAUCUGCCCUUGAGUGGGGAUAACCUUCCGAAAGGAGGGCUAAUACCGCAUAACACCCCGUUCUCUUCGGAGGAUGGGUUCAAAGGUGACCUCUGCAUGCAAGUCGCCGCUUGAGGAGGAGCCCGCGUCCCAUUAGCUAGNGGUAGGGUAACGGCCUACCAAGGCGACGAUGGGUAGCCGGCCUGAGAGGGUGAUCGGCCACACUGGAACUGAGACACGGUCCAGACUCCUACGGGAGGCAGCAGUGAGGAAUAUUGCGCAAUGGGCGAAAGCCUGACGCAGCGACGCCGCGUGGAGGAUGAA